GACGAACGCUGGCGGCGUGCUUAACACAUGCAAGUCGAACGGAAAGGCCCUGCUUUUGUGGGGUGCUCGAGUGGCGAACGGGUGAGUAACACGUGAGUAACCUGCCCUUGACUUUGGGAUAACUUCAGGAAACUGGGUCUAAUACCGGAUAGGAGCUCCUGCUGCAUGGUGGGUGUUGGAAAGUUUCGGCGGUUGGGGAUGGACUCGCGGCUUAUCAGCUUGUUGGUGGGGUAGUGGCUUACCAAGGCUUUGACGGGUAGCCGGCCUGAGAGGGUGACCGGCCACAUUGGGACUGAGAUACGGCCCAGACUCCUACGGGAGGCAGCAGUGGGGAAUAUUGCAGAAUGGGCGGAAGCCUGAUGCAGCAACGCCGCGUGCGGGAUGACGGCCUUCGGGUUGUAAGCCGCUUUCGCCUGUGACGAAGCGUGAGUGACGGUAAUGGGUAAAGAAGCACCGGCUAACUACGUG
RNAcentral lists this ribosomal RNA (468 nucleotides) under uncultured bacterium. Its description in RNAcentral is "partial 16S ribosomal RNA". It matches the Rfam family "Bacterial small subunit ribosomal RNA", at positions 28 to 507 of the family's 1533-position model. The record is from RNAcentral.